AACCCGUGAUGAGGACACUCUCUCUGAUAACCCUUGAACCUUUCCCAUGCAGCCUUGAAAGCUUCUGUAGGACCCUGAACGAACGUAAAGAUCUUAGCUUGUAGAU
Molecule: small nucleolar RNA, 106 nt
Organism: Arabis alpina (gray rockcress)
Lineage: Eukaryota; Viridiplantae; Streptophyta; Magnoliopsida; Brassicales; Brassicaceae
Rfam family: Plant small nucleolar RNA R71
About the family: R71 is a member of the C/D box family of snoRNAs containing the C (UGAUGA) and D (CUGA) box motifs.
Source: Rfam